CCGGGGCCUUAGCUAGUGGGAGGUAACGGCUCACCAAGGCCCCGAUGCAUAGCCGACCUGAGAGGUGAUCGGCCACACUGGGACUGAGACACGGCCCAGAUUCCUACGGGAGGCAGCAGUAGGGAUCUUCGGCAAUGACGAAAGUCUGACCGAGCAACGCCGCGUGAGUGAAGAAGGUUUUCGGAUCGUAAAACUCUGUUGUUAGAGAAGAACAAGGACGUUAGUAACUGAACGUCCCCUGACGGUAUCUAACCAGAAAGCCACGGCUAACUACGUGCCAGCAGCCGCGGUAAUACGUAGGUGGCAAGCGUUGUCCGGAUUUAUUGGGCGUAAAGCGAGCGCAGGCGGUUUCUUAAGUCUGAUGUGAAAGCCCCCGGCUCAACCGGGGAGGGUCAUUGGAAACUGGGAGACUUGAGUGCAGAAGAGGAGAGUGGAAUUCCAUGUGUAGCGGUGAAAUGCGUAGAUAUAUGGAGGAACACCAGUGGCGAAGGCGGCUCUCUGGUCUGUAACUGACGCUGAGGCUCGAAAGCGUGGGGAGCAAACAGGAUUAGAUACCCUGGUAGUCCACGCCGUAAACGAUGAGUGCUAAGUGUUGGAGGGUUUCCGCCCUUCAGUGCUGCAGCAAACGCAUUAAGCACUCCGCCUGGGGAGUACGACCGCAAGGUUGAAACUCAAAGGAAUUGACGGGGGCCCGCACAAGCGGUGGAGCAUGUGGUUUAAUUCGAAGCAACGCGAAGAACCUUACCAGGUCUUGACAUCCUUUGACCACUCUAGAGAUAGAGCUUUCCCUUCGGGGACAAAGUGACAGGUGGUGCAUGGUUGUCGUCAGCUCGUGUCGUGAGAUGUUGGGUUAAGUCCCGCAACGAGCGCAACCCUUAUUGUUAGUUGCCAUCAUUUAGUUGGGCACUCUAGCGAGACUGCCGGUGACAAACCGGAGGAAGGUGGGGAUGACGUCAAAUCAUCAUGCCCCUUAUGACCUGGGCUACACACGUGCUACAAUGGGAAGUACAACGAGUCGCUAGACCGCGAGGUCAUGCAAAUCUCUUAAAGCUUCUCUCAGUUCGGAUUGCAGGCUGCAACUCGCCUGCAUGAAGCCGGAAUCGCUAGUAAUCGCGGAUCAGCACGCCGCGGUGAAUACGUUCCCGGGCCUUGUACACACCGCCCGUCACACCACGAGAGUUUGUAACACCCGAAGUCGGUGAGGUAACCUUUUUGGAGCCAGCCGCCUAAGG
Molecule: ribosomal RNA, 1232 nt
Filed under: Enterococcus faecium
Lineage: Bacteria; Bacillati; Bacillota; Bacilli; Lactobacillales; Enterococcaceae
Description: bacterial SSU rRNA
Rfam family: Bacterial small subunit ribosomal RNA
Source: RNAcentral